CAUGUAGGCGGUCUGUCAAGUCUGAUGUGAAAGCCCGGGGCUCAACCCCGGAAGUGCAUUGGAAACUGGCAGACUUGAGUACAGGAGAGGAAAGUGGAAUUUCGAGUGUAGGGGUGAAAUCCGUAGAUAUUCGAAGGAACACCAGUGGCGAAGGCGGCUUUCUGGACCGAUACUGACGCUGAGAUGCGAAAGCGUGGGGAGCAAACAGGAUUAGAUACCCUGGUAGUCC
Molecule: ribosomal RNA, 229 nt
Filed under: uncultured bacterium
Lineage: Bacteria
Description: partial 16S ribosomal RNA
Rfam family: Bacterial small subunit ribosomal RNA
Source: RNAcentral